Bos indicus x Bos taurus (hybrid cattle) is the source of this 870-nucleotide long non-coding RNA. The record is from Ensembl. NCBI's taxonomy places the organism in Eukaryota, Metazoa, Chordata, Mammalia, Artiodactyla, Bovidae.
CGCCACCCUGGACUGCAAGGACUCAUGAUGCUCAAGCAGAAGACUGAGCUGUGAGGUGGGAGGUGGUGACCCUCACUGCGUUAGCCUCUGUCACAUCCUGGGUCCCACCCCUGAGGUCACCUGGGGAGCCAUUCUUGGGUCAUCCCUCCUCCAGGCGACAUUCUCAGCUGCAGCAGAAACUGACUUGGGCCAAUUUUGGAAGAAAAAUAAGAUAUUAAAAUGUGCUGACCUUCCAGGCAGCCUGAACAGUCCACCUUCCCAUCUUGCAGAGCCGGGAAAAUCCUACGGUGACAUCACGGACGGGGAGCAAGGUCACGACGCGACCGAGGCCACUCUCCAAGGGGACCAGCAGUGGCCAGCGCUGCAGACCAAGGGCCGCUCCUGCGCCUUGUGCUCGGCACAGCCAGCUCCUGAGCCACCGUCCCCCGCCUGUGGAGCCCGGGAGGCAAGGGUCAGCUUCCCUGAACGGCAGCCUCGCCCCCAUCAUGGCCGGCACAACCUAAACCGAGUAACGAUGAUGAGCCCGCGGGCAGCCCUGCCUGCAGCCCUGGCCCGCUCUCUCCCCGCUCCACGGUUCACACGCAGGGAAGAAAGCAGGAAAGGACCGGGUGCAGAGCCGCUGAGCAGAGAGAGCAGGGGCCCUCCCUCGGCCCCGGGGGAUGAAGUGUUUGGAGAAGCGUGGCUCUGGGCUCAUCUGGAAAGUAUGCAUCUUGAAAGGCAGAUGAUGCAAAACACCCUGCUUGGUGCCCGCAACUGUCGCCUGGAGGCUCGGCUAUUCCUGCCAAGAACCGGGUGACUCCAGGCUGGAAACGUUCAGGAACCCAUUAGGUGGGCAUCGGGCUGGGGGCUGGGGCCCAGCUCCAGGGUCAC